This 253-nucleotide ribosomal RNA is filed under the name uncultured bacterium. Its description in RNAcentral is "partial 16S ribosomal RNA". It matches the Rfam family "Bacterial small subunit ribosomal RNA", at positions 524 to 776 of the family's 1533-position model. The record is from RNAcentral.
UACGGAGGGUGCAAGCGUUAUCCGGAUUCACUGGGUUUAAAGGGUGCGUAGGCGGGCAGGUACGUCCGUGGUGAAAUCUCUGAGCUUAACUCAGAAACUGCCAUGGAUACUAUUUGUCUUGAAUGUUGUGGAGGUAAGCGGAAUAUGUCAUGUAGCGGUGAAAUGCUUAGAUAUGACAUAGAACACCAAUUGCGAAGGCAGCUUACUACACAAAUAUUGACGCUGAGGCACGAAAGCGUGGGGAUCAAACAGG